Molecule: long non-coding RNA, 935 nt
Organism: Dendroctonus ponderosae (mountain pine beetle)
Lineage: Eukaryota; Metazoa; Arthropoda; Insecta; Coleoptera; Curculionidae
Exons: 2
Source: RefSeq, a predicted model, not a curated record
CGACAGGCAUAAUUUUAAAUGUAUCUACUUCAUCAUGGUGCAGUCCUAUAGUCACAUAUGUACAUGUGGGUUUCGCCUUCAAAUAGGCUAUUUUCUGAAGUAAGUGGGUUUACUGUGAAUGCUUUAUGCUACGGCUAAGACUCCCAAGUGCAGCCAGACUAAGCUGGCUCGGCGACGGUCUUCAGUUUAACGAUGUCAGUAUUCUGAGGAGUGCUGCAGAGAACAGAGAAUAAUUUAGGUGCAUUUUCCUUUGUGUGCGGUCCAUUAUUUAGCGAAUACAACGAACAGGGAAGCAUCAUGACACACAUCUACGUAGGCUUCCAUGACCAACGCAACAGCAGCCGUGUUCUGAAGCCACCAGGCGGGGGCACUUCGAACAUAUUCGGUAAUGAAGAUGAAAGGAGCCUCAUUUCGGACUUGGUGGCCCCACCGACUUCUUCAGGGAUCGAAACGAGUCAGUAUAGGGGAAGCAGCAUUCAGGACGUACUGCGGUCAGAAGCGAGCAUUACCACAGUAGUUACUACGGAACAAAGGAACUCUUCAACCGAUCAUAAUGACGAUAAAAGUGAAGAAAGCACAAUUGGUGCAGUCGGCACUGACCCUUCUGGCGCCAAUAGCACCAUAAUCUUAAACGAGUCCAGCGCGAAAAGAGUUGAGAAGUACUCGUCCUGUUCAACGAUUGGAGAUAUUCUCAGCCAGGAGGAGAUCCAAGAAAAGGAAAAGAUUAAAAGACUGAACAGCCCAAGAGUGCCACCAGGCGGCUAUUCUUCCGGUUUAUGGUGAAUUUUAUCAUUGACUUUAACGUUUAUACGCAGGUAUAUCUUAUGUAUUUAAAUACCUGGCCUUAUCUUUUCUCUGUCGAUGGAUUACCCUUGUCAUUAAUAACUAUGUAUAUGUUAGGGUUGUAUUAAAAGUGUUUAUAUGAAACACACCUA